RNAcentral lists this ribosomal RNA (1248 nucleotides) under Clostridioides difficile. RNAcentral describes it as "bacterial LSU rRNA". It matches the Rfam family "Bacterial large subunit ribosomal RNA", at positions 1467 to 2724 of the family's 2925-position model. Lineage: Bacteria; Bacillati; Bacillota; Clostridia; Peptostreptococcales; Peptostreptococcaceae. The record is from RNAcentral.
GGAUGACACAGUAGGAUAAGCUAAGCACACUGUUGGUUAUGUGUGCCCAAGCAUUGAGGCAGUCAAAGUAGGCAAAUCCGCUUUGAUAAUGCUGGGAUGUGAUGGGGAGCGAAAUUUAGUAGCGAAGUAGCUGAUUUCACACUGUCAAGAAAAGUCUCUAUCGAGGUUAAAGGUACCCGUACCGCAAACCGACACAGGUGGGUGAGGAGAGUAUCCUAAGGCCAGCGAGAGAACUGUUGUUAAGGAACUCGGCAAAAUGACCCCGUAACUUAGGGAUAAGGGGUGCCACCAUCAGGUGGCCGCAGAGAAUAGGCCCAAGCGACUGUUUACCAAAAACAUAGGUUUCUGCUAAGUCGCAAGACGAUGUAUAGGAGCUGACGCCUGCCCGGUGCUGGAAGGUUAAGGGGAUCUGUUAGAGCAAUCGAAGCAGUGAACUUAAGCCCCAGUAAACGGCGGCCGUAACUAUAACGGUCCUAAGGUAGCGAAAUUCCUUGUCGGGUAAGUUCCGACCCGCACGAAAGGCGUAACGAUUUGGGCACUGUCUCAACAACAGACUCGGUGAAAUUGUAAUUCCGGUGAAGAUGCCGGAUACCUGCGACAGGACGGAAAGACCCCAUGGAGCUUUACUGUAGCUUGACAUUGGGUCUUGGUACUACAUGUACAGGAUAGGUGGGAGGCUUUGAAACCAGGACGCCAGUUUUGGCGGAGCCAUCCUUGGGAUACCACCCUUGUAGUACUGGGACUCUAACCAUAGGCCAUGAAUCUGGUCUUGGGACACUGUCAGGUGGGCAGUUUGACUGGGGCGGUCGCCUCCCAAAAGGUAACGGAGGCGCUCAAAGGUUCUCUCAGUACGGUCGGAAAUCGUACGUAGAGUGUAAAGGCAAAAGAGAGCUUGAUUGCAAGACAUACAGGUCGAGCAAGGAUGAAAAUCGGACUUAGUGAUCCGGUGGUUCUGCGUGGAAGGGCCAUCGCUCAACGGAUAAAAGCUACCCUGGGGAUAACAGGCUUAUCUCCCCCAAGAGUCCACAUCGACGGGGAGGUUUGGCACCUCGAUGUCGGCUCAUCACAUCCUGGGGCUGUAGUAGGUCCCAAGGGUUGGGCUGUUCGCCCAUUAAAGUGGUACGCGAGCUGGGUUCAGAACGUCGUGAGACAGUUCGGUCCCUAUCCGUCGCAGGCGUAGGAAAUUUGAGAAGACCUGUCCUUAGUACGAGAGGACCGGGAUGGACGUACCUCUGGUGUACCAGUUGU